This 433-nucleotide ribosomal RNA is filed under the name uncultured bacterium. RNAcentral's name for it is "partial 16S ribosomal RNA". It matches the Rfam family "Bacterial small subunit ribosomal RNA", at positions 29 to 507 of the family's 1533-position model. The record is from RNAcentral.
AACGAACGCUGGCGGCAUGCCUAACACAUGCAAGUCGAACGAGACCUUCGGGUCUAGUGGCGCACGGGUGCGUAACGCGUGGGAACCUGCCCUUAGGUUCGGAAUAACUCCCCGAAAGGGGUGCUAAUACCGGAUAAUGUCUUCGGACCAAAGAUUUAUUGCUUUUGGAUGGGCCCGCGUUGGAUUAGCUAGUUGGUAGGGUAAAAGCCUACCAAGGCGACGAUCCAUAGCUGGUGUGAGAGGAUGAUCAUCGACACUGGGACUGAGACACGGCCCAGACUCCUACGGAAGGCAGCAGAGGGGAAUAUUGGACAAUGGGCGAAAGCCUGAUCCAGCAAUGCCGCGUAAGUGAUGAAGGCCGUAGGGUUGUAAAGCUCUUUUACCCGGGAUGAUAAUGACAGUACCGGGAGAAUAAGCUCCGGCUAACUCCGUG